This 86-nucleotide transfer RNA is filed under the name Plantactinospora mayteni. Its description in RNAcentral is "tRNA-Ala". The record is from RNAcentral. Lineage: Bacteria; Bacillati; Actinomycetota; Actinomycetes; Micromonosporales; Micromonosporaceae.
CUGGGCCUGGGUCGGCGUGGGGCGCCGGGUCGCGGUCGGCGGUCUGGUGGUGCGGACCGGCGUGGUUCUGGCCGGGGGCCGGGCCC